UAGUAUAGCAAUCUAUACGGUGAAACUGCGAAUGGCUCAUUAAAUCAGUUAUCGUUUAUUUGAUAGUACCUUACUACUUGGAUAACCGUGGUAAUUCUAGAGCUAAUACAUGCUAAAAACCUCGACUUCGGAAGGGGUGUAUUUAUUAGAUAAAAAACCAAUGCCCUUCGGGGCUCCUUGGUGAUUCAUAAUAACUUAACGAAUCGCAUGGCCUUGUGCCGGCGAUGGUUCAUUCAAAUUUCUGCCCUAUCAACUUUCGAUGGUAGGAUAGUGGCCUACCAUGGUUUCAACGGGUAACGGGGAAUUAGGGUUCUAUUCCGGAGAGGGAGCCUGAGAAACGGCUGCCACAUCCAAGGAAGGCAGCAGGCGCGCAAAUUACCCAAUCCCGACACGGGGAGGUAGUGACAAUAAAUACUGAUACAGGGCUCUUUUGGGUCUUGUAAUUGGAAUGAGUACAAUUUAAAUCCCUUAACGAGGAACAAUUGGAGGGCAAGUCUGGUGCCAGCAGCCGCGGUAAUUCCAGCUCCAAUAGCGUAUAUUAAAGUUGUUGCAGUUAAAAAGCUCGUAGUUGAACCUUGAGCCUGGCUGGCCGGUCCGCCUCACCGCGUGCACUGGUCCGGCCGGGUUUUUCCUUCUGGGGAGCCGCAUGCCCUUCACUGGGUGUGUCGGGGAACCAGGACUUUUACUUUGAAAAAAUUAGAGUGUUCAAAGCAGGCCUAUGCUCGAAUACAUUAGCAUGGAAUAAUAGAAUAGGACGUGUGGUUCUAU
This 768-nucleotide ribosomal RNA is filed under the name Cadophora sp. RNAcentral's name for it is "SSU rRNA". It matches the Rfam family "Eukaryotic small subunit ribosomal RNA", at positions 61 to 840 of the family's 1831-position model. Lineage: Eukaryota; Fungi; Ascomycota; Leotiomycetes; Helotiales; Ploettnerulaceae. The record is from RNAcentral.